CGUUGGUGAACCAGCGGAGGGAUCAUUACUGAGUACUACACUCUCUACCCUUUGUGAACUAUUAUACCUGUUGCUUCGGCGGCGCCCGCGAGGGUGCCCGCCGGUCUCAUCAGAAUCUCUGUUUUCGAACCCGACGAUACUUCUGAGUGUUCUUAGCGAACUGUCAAAACUUUUAACAACGGAUCUCUUGGCUCCAGCAUCGAUGAAGAACGCAGCGAAACGCGAUAUGUAAUGUGAAUUGCAGAAUUCAGUGAAUCAUCGAAUCUUUGAACGCACAUGGCGCCUUCCAGUAUCCUGGGAGGCAUGCCUGUCCGAGCGUCGUUUCAACCCUCGAGCCCCUGUGGCCCGGCGUUGGGGAUCUGCCACGGCAGGCCCCUAAAACCAGUGGCGGACCCGAAGGCCCUCUCCUUUGCGCAGUAGCAUCAGCCUCGCAUUGGGAUCCCUCGGCGUCCUGCCUCUAAACCCCCCACAAGUCCGCUCCGGCGGCACC
This 490-nucleotide unclassified non-coding RNA is filed under the name Plectosphaerella cucumerina. Its description in RNAcentral is "sequence contains 18S rRNA gene, ITS1, 5.8S rRNA gene, ITS2". The stretch from base 168 to 321 matches the Rfam family "5.8S ribosomal RNA". The record is from RNAcentral. Lineage: Eukaryota; Fungi; Ascomycota; Sordariomycetes; Glomerellales; Plectosphaerellaceae.